UGAGGAAUAUUGCGCAAUGGGCGAAAGCCUGACGCAGCGACGCCGCGUGGGGGAUGAAGGCCUUCGGGUUGUAAACCCCUUUCGGGAGGGAAGAUGGGGCGGGCAACCGCUCGGACGGUACCUCCAGAAGCAGCCACGGCUAACUCUGUGCCAGCAGCCGCGGUAAGACAGAGGUGGCAAGCGUUGUUCGGAUUUACUGGGCGUAAAGAGUGCGUAGGUGGUUAGGUAAGACCUGUGGGAAAUCCCUGGGCUCAACCCAGGAAGGUCGCAGGUGACUGCCUGGCUGGAGGACGGGAGAGGAGGGCGGAAUUCCCGGUGUAGCGGUGAAAUGCGUAGAGAUCGGGAAGAAGGCCGGUGGCGAAGGCGGCUCUCUGGAACGUUCCUGACACUGAGGCACGAAAGCGUGGGGAGCAAACAG
Molecule: ribosomal RNA, 418 nt
Filed under: uncultured bacterium
Lineage: Bacteria
Description: bacterial SSU rRNA
Rfam family: Bacterial small subunit ribosomal RNA
Source: RNAcentral